UAUGUAGGCGGACUAGUAAGUUGGGUGUGAAAUCCCUUGGCUUAACCAAGGAACUGCACUCAAAACUGCUAGACUUGAGUUUGGGAGAGGAAAAUGGAAUUCCAGGUGUAAGAGUGAAAUCUGUAGAUAUCUGGAGGAACACCAGUUGCGAAAGCGAUUUUCUGGCCCAAAACUGACGCUGAAAUACGAAAGCUAGGGGAGCAAACAGGAUUAGAUACCCUGGUAGUCC
RNAcentral lists this ribosomal RNA (229 nucleotides) under uncultured bacterium. Its description in RNAcentral is "partial 16S ribosomal RNA". It matches the Rfam family "Bacterial small subunit ribosomal RNA", at positions 568 to 796 of the family's 1533-position model. The record is from RNAcentral.